GGUAAAAUGGUUGAGGGUAAGCAUUGAACUGUAAAUUCAAAGACAGAGACUAGAUAUCUCUUUUUACUA
RNAcentral lists this transfer RNA (69 nucleotides) under Sarcophilus harrisii (Tasmanian devil). It matches the Rfam family "tRNA". From Rfam's summary of the family: Transfer RNA (tRNA) molecules are approximately 80 nucleotides in length. Their secondary structure includes four short double-helical elements and three loops (D, anti-codon, and T loops). The record is from Rfam by way of RNAcentral. Lineage: Eukaryota; Metazoa; Chordata; Mammalia; Dasyuromorphia; Dasyuridae.